ACUACUCUGCAACCAUUUAUGAUUUUAAAGUAUUAUAUUAUAAUAUUUUUUGCUAAGCUCUUAGUAUAUUCCACACAGCGGGCUAAAACCUUUUCCACACAUUUUCUCAUCUAAUCCCCACAAUAACCCAUAAUAUAGGUACUGGUAUUAUCAUCAUCAUCACUAUUACUAUUAUUCUCAUUUUACAAAUGAAGAAAUGGAGUCUUUAUAAAAAUCGUCAGCUAAUGCUUAUAAUGCAAAGUUGAGGUAAAGAGUAGGAUAUCAAAUGGUGUGUUCAAUACAUCUCAAUUAUAUGUAAAUAUAUAUGUAGAGAAAACAGGCUAAAAGAUGGUGUAUUACAAUGCGGGCCAUUGUUGUCUCUGGGUAAUGGGUUUAUAAGUCAUAUUUAUUUUCUUCCCGUCUAACUUGCUCAGUGAUUAUAGGCAAUUCAUCUUCAGGCUGAGGCUCCACUGCCCUGCCGUCACCUCCAUGAGAUGUGGGUUAGGUCCCCAUGGCUCCACCUUCUCCUCCUUAAGAAGCAGGGGCCAGAGCCCAUGAGCCCUGAAGAUUCUACAGUCUGGAUGUCAAGAGGAAACUGCCAGGAACUAGAGCCGAGCAUCAAGAGAGGUUGCAGCAAUCAUGCUGGGUCAGAUCAUCAAAAGGACUCACAAGACUCCAACAAAGUAAAAGGUCUGAAAGGUUUUUCUUUUCAAUUUUUUUUUUUUUAUAUUUCAAAGAGAGACAGAGUCUCGCCAUGUUGCCCAGGCUGGUUCUGAACUCCUGGGCUGAAGCAAUCCUUCUGCUUUGGGCUCCCGAAGUGCUGGGAUUACAGGCGUGAACCAUCGCACCUGGCCCUGAAUGGUUUUAUUACAGGCAAAGGAUACAGAACAAUAAGAGUAAGAAAACUCGGAGCAACUUCAGGAAGAUCCACAGCAUCCACGAGCAGUUGCUAAGGCCCCCCUCAGUCGCACGGGACUGGUUCGGCCUCUGCAUCGUGAACCCCCUAGUGCAUGGGGAAGAACUGGGCCUCAGGGAAGCCAAGGCAUAUGUUCAUCUUAUUUCCCUCUGGUCACAUAGCCCAAACCAGUCUAAGUAACCAGGCAUAAUAACUGAAACCAGGUGCCAACCAUCCAUCUAUGUUUUUCCAAUAAACUAUGUAGCAAGUUGGUACAGGGCACCUCCAGGCAGCUUUGGACUUCUGACAGCAUGUUAUAAAUCACUGAUUAGUACAUCCCAUCUUUUUUUGGCCAAGCCUAUGGUUCCAGCGUCUCUGGAGAAAAUGCACGGAGUUACACAUACUAGCUUCAAGUUGGCCCUAUUCUUACAGAGGCUUAGGAUGAAGAUUGGCCUUCCUGGGCCCCUGGAGUCACACUCCAGCUUUGCUCCAGAUGAAGACCUAGAAUCCUGAAAUCACAGCUUGGGUACCAGGUGUGCAAAGUCAUGGAUAAAUGCCCAAGCUCCCUUAACGCACAGAGGACCAAGCGCAUGAACCUCCUGGUCGUGGAGAUGUACUUGGAUGUGUCCUCUUGGAGCCUGAGCCCAAACUGGCAUGUCUCAUUCAGUUGCCACUGAUGCUCUGAUCGUCUCAUGUGUAAGGAGCUUGUGGAUGCUCUAGAGCUCAUGGAAGUAGACAGAAGUCAUCUCUAUUCACAUGGUGUUUACAGUCUAAAAGGAGUCAGGUAAUUAACAAAUAAACAUUCAGAUGAAUACACAACUUCAAAUAGUACAAGGAAAAGGAAACAAUUUGUUGUGAGAGAGAAUAAAUGGUGUUGGAACCCGCAAGAGAUCAGAGGCGAGGAGGAAGCGACACUCUCUAAGGGACUGGUAUUUAAGUUGAGAGCUGUAGGAAGGACUGAUUAACAUAGAAGAAGGGGAAGGGGGAGGGAACAGCAUGUGCAAAGGCCCUGAGGAGGGAUUGCUUGGCAAGUUAAAGAAAAGUGACUGGAGGCCGGUGUGGCUGGAUGUGGCAGGUGUGGGCAAGAGUGGUAGCAGAUGUGAGGUUGGAAUGGCAGAAGAGCGUUGUGCAGGGCCCUGCAGCCACAGCAAGGAAUUUGGAACUUAUUCCAGAUGUGAUGAUCUCAUGGGUUGACUUCUCCAAAAGCAGAGCCUGAGACAGGAUUUGGGUGCAGGUGGUUGAUUUGGAAGUUGAUUCCUGAAGGAGGGAUAGUGGCACAUUUAUCUUGAUGAUCGCCUCCCGGGCUGUUAACUCAGUACUUCUGGGCUAGACUUUUGCACAGACUAAGCAGGUUUCAACAGCAUCCAAGAAGACCUGUAAUCCCAGCACUUUGGG
Molecule: long non-coding RNA, 2269 nt
Filed under: Homo sapiens (human)
Lineage: Eukaryota; Metazoa; Chordata; Mammalia; Primates; Hominidae
Description: HSALNT0227582
Source: RNAcentral